GCCACUUCUCAUCUCCUCUGUCAAACCCUAGGUUGAGCCUCUCCUCUGCUCUGCGCAUGGUCGUCGCCCGCGGCUCUGCGCCUGGUCGCCGCCCGUUGCUCUGCGCCAAGCCCCACCGCCAACAGUUGCUCUGCGCCAAGCUCGGUCGUCGCCCGCUCCUCUACACCAAGCUCAGCCGCCGCCCGCUUCUCUGCGCAAAGCCCGGCCACCCCCCGCUCCUCUGCGCAAGCCCGACUGUCGCCUGAUGUUCUGCGCGAGCCCGGUUGCCGCCCGCUGCUCUGUGCCAAGCCCAGCCACCGCCCGCUCCUCUACGCCAAGCUCAGCCGUCGCCCGCUCCACUACGCCAAGCCCAGCCGCCGCCCGCUUCUCUGCACCAAGCCGGCAAGCCCCCAGUCCAAUCAGGCACCCCAGGCUCCAUUGAUCCUCUGCGAUUCACUGAUUCAAUGCAUACUUGAUACUCAUGUGGAGUCUGGUAGUUUGCAAUCAAGGUGUUUUUUAACUUCCCUACAACGGAGUUAGAAGGAUCCUGCAGCGUGGCGGACUCUGAUGAUAUAGCAAUCCUCGGUGCUACUGGAUCCGUGAAUGUUGGAAGUGAUGAAGCUGUUGGACCCUCUGGUAGAAAUAAAAUGAAUCCCAGAUUAGACAUAUGGAACCACUUCACACGACUUAUAGAUGACAAGGACAAAGCUAAGUGCAACUAUUGCCCUCAGGUGCUUAAUUGCCAUUCACAAAGGAACGGUACGUCUUCACUCAAUGCUCGUAGAAGAAUUUGUAAGAAACAUCCUGAUAGGGUCAAGAAUCAAACUCAACUAAGCUACCAGCGUAGUGCAGAUGGCAGUAGUUGUUUAGUUCCUUGGCAAUACAAUGUUGAAAAGGUUGCUCUAGCAUUUACUCGCAUGAUAAUCAUAGACGAGCAGCCAUUUAUUUUCCCAGAAAAAGAAGGUUUUAGGGCCUUUAUGAAGGAAGCUUGUCCUUGGUUCAAACCUCCAUAUAGGACCACAAUGGGUAGGCAUAUUCUACGCCUAUAUGAAGAAGAGAAAGCAAAGCUAAUGCAAUAUUUUAAGACCUCUCGUCAAACUGUUAGCCUCACAACUGACACAUGGACUGCUUCAACCCAUCAAUGUUACAUGGUUCUCACUGCACACUUAAUUGAUAGCAAUUGGCAACUUAACAAAAAGAUCAUCAACUUCUGUUUAGUGGAUAGCCUCAAGGGGGAAGACUUGGGAAAAGCAAUAGAUAAAUGCUUGUUAGAUGGGGGUAUUGAGAAUGUGUGCACAAUUACCUUGGAUAAUGCUACUUCAAAUGAUAAAGCACUAGACUAAUUGACUAGUUCUUUGAAAAAUAGGGGUGCUACUUUAGCAAAAGGUGAGCACCUUCACAUGAGAUGUGUGGCCCAUAUCUUGAAUCUUGUGGUUCAAGAUGGAUUGAAGACAAUGGCUCCUUCUAUUUCCCAUAUUCGUAGUAUUGUCAAGUAUGUUAAAAGCUCCACCGCACGGAUGAAUACCUUCAAAAAAUGUGUGGAAAUUAGCAGGGUAAAAAGAAAAGGUUUGGUUUCUCUUGACGUGUCCACUCGAUGGAAUUCAACAUAUAAUAUGUUAGAAACAGUUGUUGAUUUUGAAAAGGCAUUUGAAAGGCUUUUAAUCGAUGAUCCCUCCUACAAUGCAGAGUUGGGUGUGAAUGGGGUUCCAAAACCUAAGGAUUGGGAGUUUGCAAAAGAAUUCAAGAAGUUUAUUAAACAUUUUUCUGAUCUUACAAAAAAUGUUUCUAGAUCUCAAUAUGUUACAACACUUGCUUUGAAGAUAUUGCUGGUGUUAAUUAUUUGUUGUUCGAUUGGAGUCAACGUGAUGAUGAUGAUGAUAAUACCUUCAGAAAUAUGGUUGCUGAAAUGAAAAACAAAUAUGAUAAGUAAUUGGGGGAGCCUGAGAAGAUGAAUGCCUUAAUGUUUAUUGCAGCUAUGCUUGAUCCUAGGUAUGGCUGCUGAAAUUAUUUUUGUGUAUUUUCUAAAGAUGUUGUUUGCUAAUUGGCUUGAUCACUCACUAAUCUUGCUCUUUUGUAAUGUUUAUGCAAGGACCAAAUAAUCUCAUUAUUUGCACACUAUCAUUCACUCGACAUAUGGCCAAUUUAAAGGUGAUAUGAUUUGGGUCUCAGCACAAAAGGCAUUCUCAGAUUUUUUUUUUUAGUGAAUACAAGAAUUUGUACUCUCCAGUUGGAAGCCAAGGUAGUAGUCAAGCAACAUUACAAUCACAAAACAGUGGUGGUGGUACUGCACAAUCAGAUUCGGGAAAUCUUAUGAGAUCUAUAUACAACAAGAAGAUGAAGGUUUGUAUAGGAGGAGGUGGCCUACCUGUUGGUGGUAAAACUGUAUUGGAGAAGUAUCUAGCUGAAGAUAUAGAAGAUGAUUUUGCUAAAUUUAACAUUUUUACUUGGUGGAAAGACAAUGCAGCUCGUUUUCCUAUCCUUUCAAGAAUGGCUACUAAUAUAUUAGCAAGCCCCAUCUCAACCGUUGCUUCUGAAUCAGCUUUUAGUACAAGUGGUCGUCUUCUUGAUGAUUUUAGAAGCUCCUUAACUCCAAAAACACUUGAAUGCUUGGUAUGUGCGCAGGAUUGGUUGCGUGGUUCCAAGCACAUAGACAUUGAAGCCACUCUAGCAAAUCUACAGAAGCUGUUUAAUUUUGAAGGAGCUUAUAGGCCUGGAUGACAAUGGGGCUCAUAUUGUAACAACAAGUGUCUUCUCUUUGGGUCCAUCUUUCAACAUUGAAGAAUGAGGACAUGUUGUUCACUUGUUCUACUAAUAUAUAUCAAAAUUAGACUUGUACUGUAUGGCUGCACUUGUACUAUAUGGCCUUUUAAUUAGACAUUAGUAACUCGUAUGGUCUUUUAGAACUAUGAAUUGAUCGGAUAUUUGGACUGUUGAACUUGAACUAUUGGACAAUCCCUAUGUUUUUGUUUAUCAGC
Phragmites australis (common reed) is the source of this 2954-nucleotide long non-coding RNA. RefSeq lists it as uncharacterized. The record is from RefSeq and is a predicted model, not a curated record. The transcript has 4 exons. Lineage: Eukaryota; Viridiplantae; Streptophyta; Magnoliopsida; Poales; Poaceae.